AGAAAACAUGUCAACAGAAUAAAAUAUUAACCAAUGACAGAAAAGAUCGGGAAAUCCCACCCCCAGCUUCAAGCCAAACACCGGGUCAGCCUUCUCUCCUCGGCCGGUGGAGAGAGCACCUCGCUCGGCUUGCGCUUAAUAAUUUUGUUGAGGUACUCUGUACCCUUGUAUGGGGCAAUAAAUGCACACCCUGAAUCAUGACCUUAAUAAAUGACUCAAUAUGUUUUAAUUUGGAUCGUUAUGAAAAAUGUGAAGCAGUGCGCUUCUGUGAGCGGCUUCUCUCCGAAGGACAAGCGGGCAGUAAACCGGACAUUGGUACUUUUAUCUGAGCCCCGGGUCAUUCCAAAGACAGACCCAGAUGCUGCGUUGAAGCAAGGAGAAAAGAAAACAUCUGAGCAUAUUUCAAGACAAAACUCAAGUGGGAAAUGUGGGUUGCUGCAGCUCAUACUGGUGGAACCACAUGACCGGGGAACCAAACCUGUGUGCAGUGCCCGCGAGUAGAAGCUCCUGCUUAUGAUACCGGCUCCGGUUGGCUUCAAGUGAGUCAGAACCAGAAAAGG
Molecule: long non-coding RNA, 560 nt
Organism: Paramormyrops kingsleyae
Lineage: Eukaryota; Metazoa; Chordata; Actinopteri; Osteoglossiformes; Mormyridae
Source: RefSeq, a predicted model, not a curated record